UACGUAGGGGGCAAGCGUUGUCCGGAAUCAUUGGGCGUAAAGCGCGUGUAGGCGGUUCGGUAAGUCUGCUGUGAAAGUCCAGGGCUCAACCCUGGGAUGCCGGUGGAUACUGUCGGGCUAGAGUGCGGAAGAGGCGAGUGGAAUUCCUGGUGUAGCGGUGGAAUGCGCAGAUAUCAGGAGGAACACCAAUAGCGAAGGCAGCUCGCUGGGACGGUACUGACGCUAAGGCGCGAAAGCGUGGGGAGCGAACAGG
RNAcentral lists this ribosomal RNA (253 nucleotides) under uncultured bacterium. Its description in RNAcentral is "partial 16S ribosomal RNA". It matches the Rfam family "Bacterial small subunit ribosomal RNA", at positions 524 to 776 of the family's 1533-position model. The record is from RNAcentral.